This 253-nucleotide ribosomal RNA is filed under the name uncultured bacterium. RNAcentral describes it as "partial 16S ribosomal RNA". It matches the Rfam family "Bacterial small subunit ribosomal RNA", at positions 524 to 776 of the family's 1533-position model. The record is from RNAcentral.
UACGGCGGGGGCAAGCGUUGUUCGGAAUCAUUGGGCGUAAAGCGCGUGUAGGCGGCCGGGUAAGUCUGAUGUGAAAGCCCGGGGCUCAACCCCGGAAGUGCAUUGGAUACUGCCUGGCUAGAGGGCGAGAGAGGAAAGUGGAAUUCCUGGUGUAGGGGUGAAAUCCGUAGAUAUCAGGAGGAACAUCAGUGGCGAAGGCGACUUUCUGGCUCGUUACUGACGAUGAGACGCGAAAGCGUGGGGAGCAAACAGG